This 253-nucleotide ribosomal RNA is filed under the name uncultured bacterium. RNAcentral's name for it is "partial 16S ribosomal RNA". It matches the Rfam family "Bacterial small subunit ribosomal RNA", at positions 524 to 776 of the family's 1533-position model. The record is from RNAcentral.
UACAGAGGGGGCAAGCGUUAUUCGGAAUUAUUGGGCGUAAAGGGCGCGUAGGCGGCUAUUCAAGUGGCGGGUGAAAUCCCUCGGCUUAACCGAGGAACUGCCUGCCAGACUGGAUGGCUUGAGACCGGGAGAGGUGAGUGGAAUUCCCAGUGUAGCGGUGAAAUGCGUAGAUAUCGGGAGGAACAUCAGUGGCGAAGGCGGCCCUCUGGUCCAGUACUGACACUCAAGUGCGAAAGCGUGGGGAGCAAACAGG